GUCUACGGCCAUGCCACCCUAAACAUGCCUGAUCUCAUCUGAUCUCGGAAGCUAAGCAGGGUCGGGCCUGGUUAGUACUUGGAUGGGAGACCACCUAGGAAGACCAGGUGCUACAAGCG
Molecule: ribosomal RNA, 119 nt
Filed under: Pteropus alecto (black flying fox)
Lineage: Eukaryota; Metazoa; Chordata; Mammalia; Chiroptera; Pteropodidae
Source: RNAcentral